This 72-nucleotide transfer RNA is filed under the name Camelus bactrianus (Bactrian camel). It matches the Rfam family "tRNA". Rfam says of the family: Transfer RNA (tRNA) molecules are approximately 80 nucleotides in length. Their secondary structure includes four short double-helical elements and three loops (D, anti-codon, and T loops). Further hydrogen bonds mediate the characteristic L-shaped molecular structure. tRNAs have two regions of fundamental functional importance: the anti-codon, which is responsible for specific mRNA codon recognition, and the 3' end, to which the tRNAs corresponding amino acid is attached (by aminoacyl-tRNA synthetases). tRNAs cope with the degeneracy of the genetic code in two manners: having more than one tRNA (with a specific anti-codon) for a particular amino acid; and 'wobble' base-pairing, i.e. permitting non-standard base-pairing at the 3rd anti-codon position. RNAcentral also lists the same sequence under 1 other name. Lineage: Eukaryota; Metazoa; Chordata; Mammalia; Artiodactyla; Camelidae. The record is from Rfam by way of RNAcentral.
AAGGGUAUAGCUCAGUGGUAGAACACAUGCUUAGCAUGCACAAGGUCCUGGGUUCAAUCCCUAGUACCUCCU